UAGGGAAUUUUUGCGCAAUGGGGGCGAAAGCCUGACGCAGCAAUGCCGCGUGAAUGUUAAACCCUUCGGGGUGUAAAGUUCUGUCAGUGGGGACGAACAAAUGACGGUACCCACAGAGGAAGCACCGGCUAACUCCGUGCCAGCAGCCGCGGUAAUACGGAGGGUGCAAGCGUUGUCCGGAAUCAUUGGGCGUAAAGAGUUCGUAGGCGGUUUGUUAAGUUAGAUGUUAAAUACUGAGGCUCAACCUCAGCACGGCAUUUGAUACUGGCAGACUUGAAUGCGGUAGAGGUAAAGGGAAUUCCUGGUGUAGCGGUGAAAUGCGUAGAUAUCAGGAGGAACAUCGGUGGCGUAAGCGCUUUACUGGGCCGUAAUUGACGCUGAGGAACGAAAAGCCAG
RNAcentral lists this ribosomal RNA (396 nucleotides) under uncultured Vampirovibrio sp. RNAcentral describes it as "bacterial SSU rRNA". It matches the Rfam family "Bacterial small subunit ribosomal RNA", at positions 355 to 764 of the family's 1533-position model. The record is from RNAcentral. Lineage: Bacteria; Bacillati; Candidatus Melainabacteria; Vampirovibriophyceae; Vampirovibrionales; Vampirovibrionaceae.